UUUGCUGUGGGUAUUUUGACUAUACAAAGGUAUUGUAAUAAGACUUUAAUUGAGUGCUAAAAGAAUGGACUUUCAAAAAAAUUCUUUUUUGAAAUUAAAAAUUGAAGUUAUUUUUAUUUGUGAAGAAACAAUAAUAAAAAUUAGGGACAAGAAGACCCUAUGAAUUUUAAUUUUCUUAUAUUUUGAAUCAAAAUAUAAGAAAAUUUAAUUGGGGCGAUUGAAAAAAAUUAAAAUCUUUUUUUUAAUAAAAAAUGAUCCAUUAAUAAUGAUUUUAUGAAAAAAAUACUCUAGGGAUAACAGCGUAAUAAUUUUAGAU
RNAcentral lists this ribosomal RNA (316 nucleotides) under Haemaphysalis bispinosa. Its description in RNAcentral is "partial large subunit ribosomal RNA". The record is from RNAcentral. Lineage: Eukaryota; Metazoa; Arthropoda; Arachnida; Ixodida; Ixodidae.